UGAGUUAUUCCAUGUGCUGAUUGUCCUGAGGGUUGAAAAUGAAAUAUAUAAUCCCUGCCGUCCAGGAGCUCCCCGUUUAGCCUUCCUUAGUGGAGUGAUUCUGAUAAAUGAGGGAUCCUGCCCAUGAUGUAUCACCCCGUGAAGUGGAAGAAUACAACAUCUCACAGACCUCUAAGGGUCGGCCUUGGAGCCAUGCGAAAAUGCCACUGUUCGAGUUUGGAGUGAAGAUAGAGGUAAAGUGGUCCACACUGCCAAAUUUAAAGAAAUCAGAGAGAAUGCAGACAAGGAGCCCUGUGAAACUCAGGGGAUCGAAACUACCUGUGUUGUACAGAACACCAUCUAAUAGUUACUAUUUUAAGACCUCCAGUCAUUAAAAAAAGUCUUUAAAUUAUGA
Hyaena hyaena (striped hyena) is the source of this 394-nucleotide long non-coding RNA. RefSeq lists it as uncharacterized. The transcript has 2 exons. NCBI's taxonomy places the organism in Eukaryota, Metazoa, Chordata, Mammalia, Carnivora, Hyaenidae. The record is from RefSeq and is a predicted model, not a curated record.